UACUAGAGUAGCACUCGCAUAUCAAUAAGCGGAGGAAAAGAAACUAACAAGGAUUCCCCUAGUAACGGCGAGUGAAGCGGGAGUAGCUCAAAUUUGAAAUCUUAAAGGGUUUCCCUUUACGAAUUGUAGUUUAAAGAAGUGUUUUCUGUUGAGGUUUUGGUAAAAGUUCUUUGGAAUAGGACAUCAUAGAGGGUGAGAAUCCCGUAUUUGACCUUUACUUUCAACUUUGUGAUACACUUUCAAAGAGUCGGAUUGUUUGGGAAUGCAGUCCAAAAUGGGUGGUAAAUUUCAUCUAAAGCUAAAUAUUGGCGAGAGACCGAUAGCGAACAAGUACCGUGAGGGAAAGAUGAAAAGAACUUUGAAAAGAGAGUUAAACAGUACGUGAAAUUGUCAAAAGGGAAGCGUUUGACACCAGUGUUGUUUUUCUGAAAAUCAAUUAAAGAACUGUUUAUGCUAAGUUGUUUAGACUUUAUCAGCUAAUCUGCUUAGUUUUGAGCUUUUCUUUAAUGCACUUUUCAGUUAACAAGUCAACAUCAAUUUCUUUUGCUGUAAAAAAGCUUGAGGAAGGUGGCUUGAGAUUCGUCUUAAGUGUUUAUAGCCUCUUGCCUAUGCAGUCGGAGAGAUUGAGGUCUGCAGCGUAGAUCCUUCGGGGCUAAAUGCAUUUGUGCUAAGUUAUAGCAUUUUAUAGACAACUUGUUGACUAUGAUUUGUCUUGUAGCUUACUCGCUUAUGUUAUUUUACCUACGCUUAGGAUGUUGAGUAGCGACAUACGCAC
RNAcentral lists this ribosomal RNA (775 nucleotides) under uncultured Neocallimastigales. Its description in RNAcentral is "partial large subunit ribosomal RNA". It matches the Rfam family "Eukaryotic large subunit ribosomal RNA", at positions 20 to 649 of the family's 3401-position model. The record is from RNAcentral. Lineage: Eukaryota; Fungi; Neocallimastigomycota; Neocallimastigomycetes; Neocallimastigales.